RNAcentral lists this microRNA (22 nucleotides) under Monodelphis domestica (gray short-tailed opossum). RNAcentral describes it as "Mdo-Mir-7244_5p (mature (guide))". Lineage: Eukaryota; Metazoa; Chordata; Mammalia; Didelphimorphia; Didelphidae. The record is from RNAcentral.
UAUGGGAAAAGCAGGUGAAAAU